CGAUCCUUUGGUAGGGGAAACAACUGGAACGGCUGCUAAUACCCCAUAUGCUUUCGAGUGAAAUGGAUUUCCGCCUAAAGAGAAGCUUGCGGCUGAUUAGCUUGUUGGUAGAGUAAUAGCCUACCAAGGCGACGAUCAGUAUCUGGUUUGAGAGGACGAUCAGACACACUGGAACUGAGACACGGUCCAGACUCCUACGGGAGGCAGCAGUAGGGAAUUUUCCGCAAUGGGCGAAAGCCUGACGGAGCAAUACCGCGUGAGGGAUGACUGCCUAUGGGUUGUAAACCUCUUUUUUCAGGGAGGAAAAAAAUGACGUUACCUGAAGAAUAAGCAUCGGCUAACUCCGUGCCAGCAGCCGCGGUAAGACGGAGGAUACAAGUGUUAUCCGGAAUCACUGGGCGUAAAGCGUCUGUAGGUGGCCUAAUAAGUCAACUGUUAAAUCUUGGAGCUCAACUUCAAAAUCGCAGUCGAAACUAUUAGACUAGAGUAUAGUAGAGGUAAAGGGAAUUUCCAGUGGAGCGGUGAAAUGCGUAGAGAUUGGAAAGAACACCGAUGGCGAAGGCACUUUACUGGGCUAUUACUGACACUCAGAGACGAAAGCUAGGGUAGCAAAAGGGAUUAGAUACCCAGUG
RNAcentral lists this ribosomal RNA (632 nucleotides) under uncultured cyanobacterium. RNAcentral's name for it is "bacterial SSU rRNA". It matches the Rfam family "Bacterial small subunit ribosomal RNA", at positions 122 to 792 of the family's 1533-position model. Lineage: Bacteria; Bacillati; Cyanobacteriota. The record is from RNAcentral.